GGGAAAACAGCAACAGAAAUAGUUGGAGAGCAGUGAUCAUCCUAUGCAUUGCCUUACGUACUACAAAGGGAGGGCUGUCAUCAUCCGCAUAAAGCCCAAGCUUUCUGUACUAUGUGACCCUGCUUCAUUUUUAGGUUUGGGUUUAUAGCACCAGCACUUAAAAGGCUGUCUGGGCCAGGUCCUGUGGUCAGUGGAAAACACGUCUACCAAGGCAGACUAACCAACCCACCAGAGCUCAUGGAUACCCAGGUUCUUUGUUGUGCCUGUGGCCUCUGCAGAUGGAAGGUCUGAGUUCUGUGAAUGAAACACAGCAAUUCGGAAAGGAAACCCCACCGCUCACUGCAGUUCAAUGUGAAGUGGAGUACUCCUCCCCACACUUACAGAAGUAGGACGAUGUCCUUAAAGUUAAAAAAAAAAAAAGUCAUACAGCCAUAAAUAUCAAUGGCUGAAUAGUUUGUAGUACUUAUUUCAUUCUCGAGUUGUAACAAAGGUUGGUUUGAGCUGGCUUCUUAAAAAGCAUGUGGCAUUUCCAAGUCCUCACACCUCCCUUUAUGGGCUCAGCAGUGGAGACUGGUGGGGAAGGUCCUGCGUACAUGACUUUGUCACUUCCAGAAGGUGAAGCCCACAGUGUGGAGUUUCCGGGGCUGUGAGCAAGGUUCCUGUGUGUAGCUGAUCAUUCUCCCCCAGCACUGCAAAGCCGCUGUUACAAACUGGCCUCCCACCACUCAAGGCACACAGCACAGGGCAAUAAAUAUCUGCUAAAAGAAGUCAGACUGGUCUCCGGGAAGAGAUAACUCUGCUCCUUCUGUGAAUUCUUCAGCUGUACUGCAGACAUUACUUGUGCUGGGAGAUGGCGGUUGCUGGGGAAAAAACCUGAGAAACCCUAGUUCAUAUCCUCCCUCUGACACUUCUUAGAGGAUCAAGCUGCUGUCUGGGAGAUGCACCAUCCUGAGCAGGACACUCCCUAGUUUCCCUGCUGACACUCGUAAACGGAACCAUCUACAACCACUUGCUGUUUGUUACUUUUGACUCUUGGAUUCCGAUUUCUAGUUUCCACUCUUCUUGCCUAAAAUCCAAUGCAAAUCAUCUCAGCAAACAUCAAAUGAAAAGAAAAAAAAAAUAAAAAAAUUCAUUGCUUAUUCCCUUAUUGAAAGACAUCUGAUUCAACAGUAUCUGGGCCAGGAACCAACAACUCAAUGUUACAAGAUUUUGUACCACUAAGUAAAUGGGUUUAGUAAAGUUAUGAGACAUUAGCUUGCAUCCAAGCUGGGGAUGAGGGGCCCCCAGAAAGUUUUCUUUCCAAGCUAUCACCCAAGUUCCCAAAUACACACCGCUUUAGGCCAAGUUCAGAUCACAGAAUCCCAGUUCUGAGAAGCUGCACUUGGUCCUCACCCAGCCCUUCCUACUGUUAGAACAAACAAGAAGGAAAUUACUCCAUCAGCUUUCACAUGCUGGAGAAAAUGGCUGAAGGUUUGAAGUCUGGCCUUCUGAGGAAAUAUUUCACAGAGCUUCUUACUUUUUAAAAUUUCUAAAAUCUCUCCCUCCUCAGAAUUAAGGAACCAUACCACUCUCUCUAGGUCACCUGAGGCACGGGAGCUACCUGAGCGAGGUUUAUGUAAAGACUUGAAGGUUUGAGAAAGUCCAAAGCAGUUUUUGGUCCAAAGCUGAUGUGACUUUGUACCUCUGAGUUAUUUGCGACCACAGCCUGGGUAUGAAUGGGAAACACACUCUGCAGCAGUGUAGGAUGGUGCUGUGGACUCUGGACUCAAGCUGAAUUCGCUUAUUACCAACGCAGGCUUGAGCAAAUCACUUACAUGUGCGGUGCCUGUUUUCUCAUCUGUGAAAUGGGGAUCAUGGUAGUCCUACUUUAUAGGACUGUUAUGAGCAUUAAAUAAAUUAAUGCUUAAAAUAGUGGCACUUAUAAGCACCAAAUAACUAUUUAAUCAGUACUAUUCAAUACUGUUAUAAUAAAAACUAAUUUCAGGCCAGGCAUGGAGGCUCACGCCUGUAAUCCCAACACUUUGGGAGGCC
This 2031-nucleotide long non-coding RNA is filed under the name Homo sapiens (human). RNAcentral describes it as "HSALNT0372369". Lineage: Eukaryota; Metazoa; Chordata; Mammalia; Primates; Hominidae. The record is from RNAcentral.